RNAcentral lists this microRNA precursor (127 nucleotides) under Orobanche cernua var. cumana. RNAcentral's name for it is "miR160d". The stretch from base 18 to 107 matches the Rfam family "mir-160 microRNA precursor family". From Rfam's summary of the family: The hairpin precursors (represented here) are predicted based on base pairing and cross-species conservation -- their extents are not known. In this case the mature sequence is excised from the 5' arm of the hairpin. The record is from RNAcentral. Lineage: Eukaryota; Viridiplantae; Streptophyta; Magnoliopsida; Lamiales; Orobanchaceae.
GUGAGAUUGAUGUGAUGAUAUGCCUGGCUCCCUGUAUGCCACACACCCACCACAAUCCAAGCGGGCGGAUUGGCGGAGGUGGGUGGCGUACGAGGAGCCAAGCAUGCCCAAAACCCCGCUGUCUUGA